This 257-nucleotide ribosomal RNA is filed under the name uncultured bacterium. RNAcentral describes it as "partial 16S ribosomal RNA". It matches the Rfam family "Bacterial small subunit ribosomal RNA", at positions 524 to 777 of the family's 1533-position model. The record is from RNAcentral.
UACGUAGGGUGCGAGCGUUUGUCCGGAAUUAUUGGGCGUAAAGAGCUUGUAGGCGGUUUGUCGCGUCUGCCGUGAAAUUUCGAGGCUCAACCUCGAACUUGCGGUGGGUACGGGGCAGACUAGAGUGUGGUAGGGGAGACUGGAAUUCCUGGUGUAGCGGUGAAAUGCGCAGAUAUCAGGAGGAACACCGAUGGCGAAGGCAGGUCUCUGGGCCACUACUGACGCUGAGAAGCGAAGGCAUGGGGGAGCGAACAGGG